Molecule: ribosomal RNA, 467 nt
Filed under: uncultured bacterium
Lineage: Bacteria
Description: partial 16S ribosomal RNA
Rfam family: Bacterial small subunit ribosomal RNA
Source: RNAcentral
GACGAACGCUGGCGGCGUGCUUAACACAUGCAAGUCGAACGGAAAGGCCUCUUUUGGGGGGUACUCGAGUGGCGAACGGGUGAGUAACACGUGAGUAACCUGCCCUUGACUUUGGGAUAACUUCAGGAAACUGGGGCUAAUACCGGAUAGGAGCUCCUGCUGCAUGGUGGGGGUUGGAAAGUUUCGGCGGUUGGGGAUGGACUCGCGGCUUAUCAGCUUGUUGGUGGGGUAGUGGCUUACCAAGGCUUUGACGGGUAGCCGGCCUGAGAGGGUGACCGGCCACAUUGGGACUGAGAUACGGCCCAGACACCUACAGGAGGCAGCAGUGGGGAAUAUUGCACAAUGGGUGGAAGCCUGAUGCAGCAAAGCCGUGUGCGGGAUGACGGACUUCGGGUUGGAAACCGCUUUCGCUCAUGACGAAGCUUUGUGUGACGGUAGUGGGUAAAGAAGCACCGGCUAACUACGUG